Molecule: non-coding RNA, 187 nt
Filed under: Lysobacterales bacterium
Lineage: Bacteria; Pseudomonadati; Pseudomonadota; Gammaproteobacteria; Lysobacterales
Description: 6S RNA
Rfam family: 6S / SsrS RNA
About the family: E. coli 6S RNA was the first non coding RNA to be sequenced, but its function was unknown until recently.
Source: RNAcentral
CGUCCUCUGCUGUGCCCGACCGCUUGCGCUAACAUUCGCCUUGUCCCUUAAACACGACCUGGGAGACUGCCUCAGCCGACCGUGUGCAAGUCCGCCGCGCAGCGGAAAGCCUGACGUCCGCUUCGGUACCUCCACCUGAUCCUCGGGAUCAAGGUCGUUUCGCAAGCAUCGACAUGGCGGAGGAUGC